This 347-nucleotide ribosomal RNA is filed under the name Clostridioides difficile. RNAcentral describes it as "bacterial LSU rRNA". It matches the Rfam family "Bacterial large subunit ribosomal RNA", at positions 1189 to 1540 of the family's 2925-position model. The record is from RNAcentral. Lineage: Bacteria; Bacillati; Bacillota; Clostridia; Peptostreptococcales; Peptostreptococcaceae.
UACUACCGAAGCUACGGCAUCAGUAAUGAUGGGUAGGGGAGCUUCCCAUACGGGUUGAAGCAUGACCGUAAGGACAUGUGGACAGUAUGGGAGUGAGAAUGUUGGCAUGAGUAGCGAGAUGUGGGUGAGAAUCCCACAGGCCGUAAACCCAAGGUUUCCAGGGGAAGGUUCGUCCGCCCUGGGUUAGUCGGGACCUAAGCUGAGGCCGAAAGGCGUAGGUGAUGGACAACAGGUUGAUAUUCCUGUACUACCGAUAACCGUUUGAGAGAAGGGAUGACACAGUAGGAUAAGCUAAGCACACUGUUGGUUAUGUGUGCCCAAGCAUUGAGGCAGUCAAAGUAGGCAAA